This 97-nucleotide signal recognition particle RNA is filed under the name Gammaproteobacteria bacterium. RNAcentral describes it as "signal recognition particle sRNA small type". It matches the Rfam family "Bacterial small signal recognition particle RNA". Rfam says of the family: The signal recognition particle (SRP) is a universally conserved ribonucleoprotein involved in the co-translational targeting of proteins to membranes. Archaeal SRP consists of a 7S RNA and homologues of the eukaryotic SRP19 and SRP54 proteins. In most bacteria, the SRP consists of a 4.5S RNA and the Ffh protein (a homologue of the eukaryotic SRP54 protein). The record is from RNAcentral. Lineage: Bacteria; Pseudomonadati; Pseudomonadota; Gammaproteobacteria.
CGCCGGCUCCCCCGCGGCGAUCAGCCGUGAACCCCGCCAGGCCCGGAAGGGAGCAACGGUAGCGGCGACAUCGGGUGCCGGGGUGCAGCUGGCGUGG